CUUCACCGAGCCGAUCCACAGCGGAGCGUCCUCGGGCCGUCCGGCGCCGUAGGUCUCCAGCAGGGCGUGUGCCUC
Molecule: antisense RNA, 75 nt
Filed under: Streptomyces cellostaticus
Lineage: Bacteria; Bacillati; Actinomycetota; Actinomycetes; Kitasatosporales; Streptomycetaceae
Description: ASpks TB sRNA
Rfam family: ASpks TB sRNA
Source: Rfam by way of RNAcentral